UACGUAGGGUGCAAGCGUUGUCCGGAAUUAUUGGGCGUAAAGAGCUCGUAGGCGGUCUGUUGCGUCGGCUGUGAAAACCCGGGGCUCAACCCCGGGCCUGCAGCCGAUACGGGCAGACUAGAGUUCGGCAGGGGAGACUGGAAUUCCUGGUGUAGCGGUGAAAUGCGCAGAUAUCAGGAGGAACACCGGUGGCGAAGGCGGGUCUCUGGGCCGAUACUGACGCUGAGGCACGAAAGCUAGGGGAGCAAACAGG
This 253-nucleotide ribosomal RNA is filed under the name uncultured bacterium. Its description in RNAcentral is "partial 16S ribosomal RNA". It matches the Rfam family "Bacterial small subunit ribosomal RNA", at positions 524 to 776 of the family's 1533-position model. The record is from RNAcentral.